UAGCCAAGAGAUAUUUUUUUCAACAUCUACUGUAUGCCAAAUAGUGGAGACUUUAUAACCACAGCGGGUGUAUAUUGUCCUUAAGCAGCUCACCUGGAGAGGAAGAAGUGUUGAAUUAUAUUAGACAGUCACUGUAGAUUUAUUUGUCUGAACACUGAAAUGGGGGUGACUCUGGGAACACAGAGCAGAUGCGGCCCUUCACUCCGAUGAUGUGUCACUGUCUCUCUGAGACCGCCCCUGACUCCCUAAGUGGAAGAGCAAAAGGGAAGGCAAAAUCACACAGAGCUACAAGGCGGGAAAGGCAGCCCAGGCUGAGAGCAUUCCGUAUUCACACAACCAGAGGCCAGAGAGAGCAGCUAUGCUCCAGGGGUGUUUAAUGUGGCUCAUGUGCAGAACACACAGAAUUCAUGAACAGGGAGGUUGGAUGCCUAAAAUAACAGAGAAUAAAUACAUGUCACAAAAAUCUCUCCAUGUUUUCCUAUUAGCAGAUGAUAGUAGUUAACGUCUCCUUGUCACAGAGGAAAUGGGCACUGAUGACUCAGCAGAGGUGACUCAUCGAAAGAGAAGUGGCGCCACGAAAUCUUUGUCGGGCUCUUCAAACGAAAUCCACAAACGCUUCACCUUGCAACAUCAGUUUUGUUCCGUGGUUCUGAAGAAACUGAGAAAUACACAAAGGCAUCAGAAAGAGGUCCUAAUACCAGGUGCACGGCUGGCUACCCGGACCGGUGCGUGGGGACCUGAAUGAGUUUUGCACUCCUUCCUCUCUGAAGACAUCUCUUCAACAGUCUCAGCAGCUAGACAACCUCAGACCUCUCCCCUCCAGGGCAGAGCCGGCCCCCAUGGGCUCACCACACGGAAGAGGCAGGAGCAAAAGAAGGAUGUGUGCCAGCUUCAGGCCACUGAGCCCGAGAAAGGUAGCCACAGAGAGUGUGCGAGUUCGAAAAAAUAUGGCUGCAGCCUCCUCCCAUCCCUGCACACACGUGCCCCUGCACUAUGAGGUCACCCCUUCUCCCCUCAAGAAAUAGACGUUCUUUCUCAAUUCCCUCUUGAAUCUGGGCUGCCCUGUGACUCACUCUGGCCAAUGGAAAGCAGUGGAAUGACAUUAUGCAACGUCUGAGCCCAGACCGAAAGAUACCUCUGCAUUCUCUGUCUUGGAACCCAGCUGCCAAGUGAGGAAGCCUCUGCUAGCUCUCGCCAAGGAUGAAAGCCGGCGUGCCCCAAGUGUAACCUGUGAAUGACACCAUCCAGGAGCAGCUGAAACCCAACCAAGAUGCCAUCUGAUCACAAGCACAUGAGCAAACCCAGUAACACCACAGAGAACAGAGAAUAACAAUUUCGACUGAGUCCUGCUCCAAUUGCCAGCCCACCAAAUCUCAAGCAAAUAAACUUAUGCACGAACAGAGAGCACGUUCAGUAAUUACUAAUUCAGCCUCACCAAUCAGAUAAGGCUCUCUGGUAUAAGAGUAGUGUGGCUCUACUAUGGUUUUCUAUGGAAACAUGCUGGUGGGGUAAUUUUCCCACCACAAGUGAUGAUCCUGCUCCCAUCACGCAUGCUGAAGUCUUCCAGAAACACCAGGGGACUCUUUAAACACUGACCUUUACGAGGGGGUAUUGAAAAGUAGUGUAUUUC
Long non-coding RNA from Zalophus californianus (California sea lion), 1630 nucleotides. The record is from Ensembl. NCBI's taxonomy places the organism in Eukaryota, Metazoa, Chordata, Mammalia, Carnivora, Otariidae.